CGGAGCGUGGCGCAGCCUGGUAGCGCACCUGCUUUGGGAGCAGGGGGUCGCCGGUUCGAAUCCGGCCGCUCCGACCA
Molecule: transfer RNA, 77 nt
Filed under: Desulfovibrionaceae bacterium
Lineage: Bacteria; Pseudomonadati; Thermodesulfobacteriota; Desulfovibrionia; Desulfovibrionales; Desulfovibrionaceae
Description: tRNA-Pro
Rfam family: tRNA
About the family: Transfer RNA (tRNA) molecules are approximately 80 nucleotides in length. Their secondary structure includes four short double-helical elements and three loops (D, anti-codon, and T loops).
Source: RNAcentral